RNAcentral lists this ribosomal RNA (301 nucleotides) under uncultured bacterium. RNAcentral describes it as "partial 16S ribosomal RNA". It matches the Rfam family "Bacterial small subunit ribosomal RNA", at positions 509 to 807 of the family's 1533-position model. The record is from RNAcentral.
CAGUCGCCACGGUAAUACAGAGGGUGCGAGCGUUAAUCGGAUUUACUGGGCGUAAAGCGUGCGUAGGCGGCUUUUUAAGUCGGAUGUGAAAUCCCUGAGCUUAACUUAGGAAUUGCAUUCGAUACUGGGAAGCUAGAGUAUGGGAGAGGAUGGUAGAAUUCCAGGUGUAGCGGUGAAAUGCGUAGAGAUCUGGAGGAAUACCGAUGGCGAAGGCAGCCAUCUGGCCUAAUACUGACGCUGAGGUACGAAAGCAUGGGGAGCAAACAGGAUUAGAGACCCGAGUAGUCCCUGUCUCUUAUAC